RNAcentral lists this transfer RNA (65 nucleotides) under Deracantha onos. RNAcentral describes it as "tRNA-Met". The record is from RNAcentral. Lineage: Eukaryota; Metazoa; Arthropoda; Insecta; Orthoptera; Tettigoniidae.
AAAAAGGUAAGCUAAAUAUAAGCUAAUGGGUUCAUACCCCAUAUAUAGGACUUACCUCCUUUUUA